RNAcentral lists this long non-coding RNA (6172 nucleotides) under Nicotiana tabacum (common tobacco). RNAcentral describes it as "long non-coding RNA (NTAB_LNC005539)". The stretch from base 672 to 808 matches the Rfam family "MIR394 microRNA precursor family". The record is from RNAcentral. Lineage: Eukaryota; Viridiplantae; Streptophyta; Magnoliopsida; Solanales; Solanaceae.
CUUCUCAUAAUUUUUUGUUUCUAUUCAAAAGUACUAUUUUUCCUAAAAAGUAGUCAAACACCUUAGCUUUGAAAAAAAAUUUAAUCAAAUAAAAGUAUUUUUGGCCAAAACGAAAAUUUGGCUAACAAGCUAUAAGUUCGUAAUGGUUUUUGUCAUUUUAGGAUAGCAGUACCAAAUUCUAAACCCUUGCCCUUCUCCACCCCUUGGCCCCUCCUUUUCUUCUUCUCAGUCUAAGGGUUUGCAUCAGUAACGAGGGUUUUGAGGAAAGAUGAAAUUAAUACGAGGGUCAUGAGGGGCAAAAUAGUUUCUUUUUCUUCAUCAGAAUCGAGGGAUUUGGGGGGCAAGAAAUUUGAUCCUCUGCUUAUAAAUAUGCAUGCUCUCCCAAAGGAAGAAUGAAACAUCCUAUCUGAUUAUGAUCUCUCCCUUUCUCUCCAGUAUCCACCUCCCCUAUUAAUUAUUUCACAGCAAUUUCAAUGCGCUCUCUCUCUCUCUCAACCCUCAUCUCACCAUCUUAAAUAGUGCCCAACUGCCCCUCCUUUCAAUACUCUCAUAUAUAGCCUACUUUCUAGUAUAUGUUUCUUUCAUCUUAAUUAUUACAGAGGGAAAAACUAAAGAUGAUGCAGACUCUAUGAUGAUAUUAUUCAGUUUCAUGGAAGUUUGGCAAAGGGUUUCUUACAAAGUUCAUUGGCAUUCUGUCCACCUCCCUCUUCCUUAGAAAAGAAGGUGACCAAGAAAAAGAAAAAGGACAAAAAAAAAAGAAGGGUUAAUUAACGUGGAGGUGGGCAUACUGCCAACAGAGUUGUGUUGGUUUCUCUUUGUAAAACUCUCGUGAUACAUCAAACAAGAGAGAUCCUCUCUUGUUACACACGUUCUUCAUGUUUUUGUUCUCCCCAAGUUUUUGUUCGCUUAUUCUUCUUUCUUUCAGUUAUUUUCUCUUCAUAAUCAUUCAUCUAAUCCAUAUUUGUUUUUCUUGUUUUAACCCUUGAAGAAUAAAGUUCACUAAUGCGUUUCUAUCUUCAAGGCUAGCUCAAGUUUCUUUUAGGAACAACGGAACAGCAAUCCUCGACUCGACAAUGUUACUUGGAUCGGAGCUAAGAACCCUAAUUUUCAGAAUUUGUUUUUGUAUUUCAUGUUUUAACUUUAUUCGGUCCUUUUUCCCUUUACCUCCUUUGCUAUAAUCUUUUUGAUGCUCUUAUUAGGUAGCUAUAUGGUUAAAGGGAUACAGAAAGAUGCAGCUGAUCUUCCUCCUGUGGUAAGCACUUAGAAAAGGGGCAGGGAUGCGUUUUUGUUUGUUACUAAUUAUCAUAAACCAUUUCUUUGUUUCAUCACUAUUUUAACCAAACUAACAAAGUGUAAAUGCAUUAUAGAGAAUUCUGUAUUUAAAUUUCGUGUACCAGAAGGACGAGGCUCUUAUAUGAUCUAGUAGGUAACCUACUUCAUUUAAUUUUUUCAGAUUACUAAUUUACUUUUUAUCAACAAUUAAUUGUACUUAUUAUUUAGAUAAUAAAUAAUGUAAAAAAUCUUUAACAUGUAAAAAGAAAGAAGUAUUCCGAACAAUUAAAGUCCAAUAUCAACUCAAGUCAAAUGAGACAUCAUAUGACCUGCUCCUCUUUAAUGUUUCAUGUGUACGCUCUAUAAUCUUUUGUGAGCUAGUGUUCGCUUAAUUAGUGCAAUGCUGAUGACACUAUGGGUAGACUCUCGUUUUUGGGAGUGGGAAAAAAGACUUUGCAUUUUCACACUUAAUUGCUGCAGAUGGGUGAUUUCACAUUACAGUACAAGAAGAUGGUAGCGCGAGGGCAGGAAAAUAGGCUCAUGAUUAAUGUCUGACAUUUCCAUUAAAGUAUAAGGGCUAUGUUUUUGGUCUAACUUCUCGUUAAAGCAGACCAAUUAAAUGCAUUCAUUAGUAGUAGUCUUGCUAAUAUAUGGGACGAGUUAUAAGUGCCUACUAACCAACUAGUACGUACCAAACAUUCUUAUGCAUAAUAUGACAAAAGGUUGAAAACAUUGAUCAAUAGUUGAGGACUGGUUGGUAUCUUCAUAUCUUAUUGAUUCUUAGCUAGCUAUAGUAUUUAAUUCUUUCUAGUACUUAAGACUACUGCUGCAUGUCUUUCCAUUUUCUGGAAUGCAUUAUCAGUUGAUAAUUUAUUUAAAGUACAUGUCUAUGUAAAUAUUUUUCACACUACGAGUGCAUAUAACUAAUUAAGUUCAUCUUUUUAGGCAUGUAAUUUCCUUAAAAAAAUCUUCUCAGGUGCUUAAGUGCAGUUACUUUAAGAAAUUCCUACUUAAAAACUUCAUGGAGUACUAACACAUGGAAGCUACUAGUGCUGACUCUGGUAUAUAGUCCCACCGGUAUAUAUUCCGUCUGUUUUUAUUUACUUGUCAUGUUUGCCAAAGCUACUAUUGACUUUGGUAUAUAAUCCCUUCAUUUCGGUUUACAUAUUUAAAACCUCAGGUAAGAUAGAAAAUAAAGCUUAAUGAUCAAUGCUUCCAGUUACUAGAAAGCUUGGGUGCAACAUCGUCUAUUUGAUUUUACCCACAAAAAAAAAAUGGUCUAUUUGGAUUCAUGUCAAAUUCUUUUAGUAUUAUUGCUUUCUUCUAGAUUGGUAAGCAUCCUCCCCUUCCAACCAAGAGGUUGUGAGUUCGAGUCACCCCAAGAGCAAGGUGGGGAGUUCUUGGAGGGAGGGAGCCGAGGGUCUAUCGGAAACAGUCUCUCUACCCCAGGAUAGGAGUAAGGUUUGCGUACACACUACUAUCCCCAGACCUCACUAGUGGGAUUAUACUGGAUUCUUAGUUGUUGUUUUCUUCUAGAUUGGCGAGGAAGCAGGAAAUGGAGCUAUUUGCAUGUUUCAGUAGCUAGAAUUAUUGUGAUGCUGGUGAACUUGCAGGAAUUUAGUUCUGAAACUUAAAAUCAUUUUCGAUUUGAUUCAAGUUCCCCAUAUCAUGACUAUCCACCUGGCCAAAUGAUGUUCAUUCGAAUGUUUUUACUCUGCCCAACAGAUGGUAAUGAUAGCAUGUAUGCUAUGAGUUCAUAGCUUUUGUUCAACCUCGGUAUAUUUUACUCCUUAUUAAGAAAUACGUUAAACUUUAAAUCUGGAUUUAGCCUACUAAGCCAUCUCAAGCCUGAUGGUGUCCUAAGGUUUUAGCCUGCUUUGCCAUAACAAAAUGCUGUAUUUAUUUCCUAGUCUUAUUGCCAGCCCAGAUUUUGCACUCCCUCCCACUUGAUCUUAUUGGUCUUAAAUGAUAUUUUAUGUAAUGACAGAUGCAUAUCAACUUUCGGAAUUUUGGUUUUAAGAAGAUAGGCGUGACAAAUGAACCGGAACAAAGAGUAUAACCCAAAGAUAAUUACAUGUUAGAAUUGCAACAUAUAGAAGCUCAUAACCUAGGCAAACAUAAUUAAAAACAUAUCCUGAACCAGCAAAUUCCUCAAAUGGGACUUGAGACACAUUAUUUGGCUCAUUAGCAGCAGCAGCAGCGAAGUGUUCCUUAGUCUCUCCAGUAAUUUUAUAUGCAAUUACAGUUAAAAUCUUUUCUUGCCUUCUCCGCAUGAAUUUUUUAUAUUUUUAUAAUUUUCUUUCAAAACUGUCACAGCUUUCUUUAGAAAAACCUCAUAUGCUUCUGGUGACACAUCCUUCAUCUCCAUCUCUCGUUCUUUCAAGGAAGCUAGGGUUGGGGUUUGUAUCACUUUCGGAAUAGAAUUAAAAAGAUUGAUUACAUGCAUGUGAGUUAGUUCUUUUGGAUUUCUAUUCUAUACAAGAAACUCGUUUUCUAAUAUUACAAUUUGGUAAAGUAAGAACUAUAAAUAUAAUUAUAAAGUUACGCCAAAUGAAUAUCAAAGACCUUUAGGUAAUUAAGAAAGCACUGGGAUUUAAAAAUUUUAAGGUUUGCAUUCCGGGAGUUUUGUUCUUCUUUUCGCUACGGAAAAAUCCUUAUGGCCUUCUCGUGAGCCCCACUCGAGUUGAGGAAAUUUUUACUUUGUACUUCACACAAAAGGCAGAAAAUUCUUGGACUUGUUAUUAUCAAUACACAAAAAAGUUCAAAAGACAAUCACAAAAGUAUAGGAUUUUGCUCGAAUACUAGAUAAGCAUUACACACCAGAAGGUUGCCUUGUGAACUAAAAGCUAGUACAAGUUUUUACAUAAAAGUUCCUCUGGGCAGACAGAUGUAUGGUGUCUGAACUCUGAACGAAGAGUAAAUGCCCAAGAAAUUCCCCUUGAUUUUCAUGUCAGUUGGAUCCCAAGAUUGAGAAUACAAGUCAAAAAGAUUCACCAAAGAAGGAACCUAGGACUUCUACAUCUCAGUUUAGAGUAAAAUAUGCUAGUAACUAGAAUAGGCCAAUGUUUACCAACAUCACAUUUGGCAAAUGUUAUUUAAGGUCAAUAGUAAUUUAAACUUUAGCAAAAGAAAUGGUCAUUUAGAUUAUUGCACAGGAAGCCCUCUCCAUAGGACUGUACCAUGAGAACUAAGAGAUGAACACUCACAGUGAUGAACUACAAACCAAUAUUAUCAUACAAAACAUUCUCUCCUCGUGAGCGCACCAUGAACACUCACAGUGAUGAACUUAAACGAUCAAGAUCCACAAAUCCAGAAAGCACUGCCCUGUUACGUUCCUUAACCUUCACUUGAUAUAUAACUCUGCACAUUCCAACUGUCUUUUAGUCUACCAAACACCCAAUAAAUAUAUUGAAUCUCGUAGUAAACGAUGUACUAAUUUAACAUACCUCAACCCUGCCAGCCACAUUUCCGUGAUUAAAGUCUCUCCUGGAUAUACAUGUAGUAAAAAUCUGCCAGAUAUGCUCUUGAUCAUGUUCUGUUCACCUCCGCAAAUACAUUUAAUGAUAGCCCUAACUGCAUAUCCAAGCGUGCACAACCCAUGCAGUAUUGGACGAGAAAAUCUAGGCAAAAUACAUCCAAAGAAAUUAGAUUGCACUGACAUAUUGUAAAUGCAUGAAAAGAGAUAAAAACGAUUGUAACUUGAUAUUGUUCAGCUUGAACUAGAAUUACAGAAGCAAAUUCAACUUCAGCAUUGCAGAAGCAAAAUCAAUCCUUCAACUGAUGUCCUGAACAAAAGAGCUAAUUAAGCUUCAAGUAGAACAUAAAACUAACAAAAGAAAACACCUUUUUGGAUCAGGGUAUGGCCUUAAAGUUUACACAGUAUUCCAACCAAGAGCAUUUGUAUAAACUCACUUGUUAAAAAGGAUGAAUAUUAGGAGAUGGACAGUACUAUGGUUGUUGAAAUUAAUGUACAAUUAUGUGUAAGCAUCAUGUCCACGUUCAGAUUUCAAAUUCUUAAUAGUUUUUAGUUUCUGCACUUAUUUUCCGACAUGCAUUUCAGUGGAAGGACUCAUUUUUCAGGGGUAUGUCCCCGAACAGAUGGUGAGGAGGAGUCAGGAGUGCCUUUUUUUUACUCUCUACAGUUGUAAGAAUAAAUAGUUAUUGGUGGAGGGGGUGGGUGUUUAGGGCUAAGACAUUUUAGAACGGCAUUAUCAUGAAUUAGGGCAGUUCGAAACUCCUAAAUCUAUUCCUUUUUUUUCUGUUCACAUAGUCCACAGCUAUAGUGGGUUGCUAUAGUGGUAAACACCCUCCACUUCCAACCAAGAGGUUGUGAGUUCGAGUCACCCCAAGAGCAAGGUGGGGAGUUCUUGGAGGGAGGGAGCCGAGGGUCUAUUGGAAACAGCCUCUCUACCCCAGGGUAGGGGUAAGGUCUGCGUACACACACCCCACUAGUGGGAUUAUACUGGGUUGUUGUUGUAUAGUCCACAGCUAGGCUUGCCGCAUCAGCACUUUAGAUGGGCAAGUCGAAGGGCAAAAAAGCUUACCUCUCUUACAAUUUACCAACUUAAUGAAUAAUGCCAGUUAAGAAAAUUUGUUUAGGUUAGGUAAUAUUUCUUUCUAAAAGUGCGGCAAAAAUAGAAAAACCCGAAAAUUUCCCACAUGUUAUGCUUCACUCAGGAAGCAAUAUCGCUAGUUUGUGAGUUCCCUUUCUAUUUCGUGCAAACAAUGGGAGGUUCACGUCUAAUAUCAUGCAAAUUUAACAAGCAUCACUAACCGGCAAACAUUGGCUACUAAGUAGCUCAAGGAUAACAGAACAUAAAAGUUAUUGGCAAAGAGUACAACAAGUUACUCACAAGAUAUGGUACUAUCAUUAUAUAGAGAGAGUCAAAUUGAGUUGUUU